AUUUAUAAGAAGGUGAACCUGCUCAGGUGUUCCGGAACCCGCACCGCCUUCUCCUCAGCUCCACAGUGGACCUGCCUCCUGGCCUCAUCUUACCCCCUGUCUGGAGGCUCAUGGGUGUUCGUGAGCUGGGGCCACAGGGUGUCUUGAGUGACAAGACAGAUACGUUCCCCUUCCAUCUGUGGAUUUUGGUCCCCUCGUUCCUGGAUGUCUGGGGCCUUGCUGACCUGUGUCCCUGCAUGGAGGACAAUACGUCUUACUUGUGGAAAUCUGUGGAUGGAACAAAGUCUCCUUGUGAUGGUCAUUUCUGUGUUCGUGUGUCAAGCCUGAUGAACAGGAACCCCGGGUACCCUCUAAACUGUCUGCGACUGAGGCAGGUUGCUGCACGGUUUGGGGGCCGUCUCCUUCCAGGAAAUAGGAACAGUGACAUCAGGGGCUGUAAGGCUGGAGUAGGGACAGAGGUGAUUCCCAAUCUCAAGCAGCCCCUCCCAAGUCCCUCUUUCCUCACCGUCCUCAUUCAUCCUUUUUUUGCAACGCACUAUCAUUUUAAAUGACUCACUGCUAGAACGAAAGCUACUUUCCCCCCACAGUUAAACAUCCAGAGCCUAGCACAGUGCCUGGCACAUAGUAGGUGGUCAUUUAGUACCUGGCACAUAGUAGGUGGUCAUUUAGCAGCGAGGCCGGAAUGAGCCUGGCACUUAGAUGUGCCUGUUUAUUGCUUUCCUUUCUCCCCCUCCUUUGGGAUCCCCUUGCGUUACCUGGUUUGGAUUUGGACUACUUUAC
Molecule: long non-coding RNA, 780 nt
Filed under: Marmota monax (woodchuck)
Lineage: Eukaryota; Metazoa; Chordata; Mammalia; Rodentia; Sciuridae
Source: RNAcentral